AGAUUGAACGCUGGCGGCAUGCCUAACACAUGCAAGUCGAACGGGAGUAGCAAUACUCUAGUGGCGGACGGGUGAGGAAUACGUAGGAAUUUGCCCUUAAGUGGGGGAUAACCCGGGGAAACCCGGAUUAAUACCGCAUGACCUCGAAAGAGCAAAGUGGGGGAUCGCAAGACCCCACGCUUUUGGAGAAGCCUACGUCGGAUUAGCUAGUUGGUGAGGUAAUGGCUCACCAAGGCGACGAUCCGUAACUGGUCUGAGAGGAUGAUCAGUCACACCGGAACUGAGACACGGUCCGGACUCCUACGGGAGGCAGCAGUGGGGAAUAUUGGACAAUGGGCGCAAGCCUGAUCCAGCAAUGCCGCGUGUGUG
This 369-nucleotide ribosomal RNA is filed under the name uncultured soil bacterium. RNAcentral's name for it is "bacterial SSU rRNA". It matches the Rfam family "Bacterial small subunit ribosomal RNA", at positions 26 to 407 of the family's 1533-position model. The record is from RNAcentral.